UGCUCCUGAUGUUAGCGGCGGACGGGUGAGUAACACGUGGGUAACCUGCCUGUAAGACUGGGAUAACUCCGGGAAACCGGGGCUAAUACCGGAUGGUUGUUUGAACCGCAUGGUUCAGACAUAAAAGGUGGCUUCGGCUACCACUUACAGAUGGACCCGCGGCGCAUUAGCUAGUUGGUGAGGUAACGGCUCACCAAGGCGACGAUGCGUAGCCGACCUGAGAGGGUGAUCGNCCACACUGGGACUGAGACNCGGCCCAGANUCCUACGGGAGGCAGCAGUAGGGAAUCUUCCGCAAUGGACGAAAGUCUGACGGAGCAACGCCGCGUGAGUGAUGAAGGUUUUCGGAUCGUAAAGCUCUGUUGUUAGGGAAGAACAAGUGCCGUUCAAAUAGGGCGGCACCUUGACGGUACCUAACCAGAAAGCCACGGCUAACUACGUGCCAGCAGCCGCGGUAAUACGUAGGUGGCAAGCGUUGUCCGGAAUUAUUGGGCGUAAAGGGCUCGCAGGCGGUUUCUUAAGUCUGAUGUGAAAGCCCCCGGCUCAACCGGGGAGGGUCAUUGGAAACUGGGGAACUUGAGUGCAGAAGAGGAGAGUGGAAUUCCACGUGUAGCGGUGAAAUGCGUAGAGAUGUGGAGGAACACCAGUGGCGAAGGCGACUCUCUGGUCUGUAACUGACGCUGAGGAGCGAAAGCGUGGGGAGCGAACAGGAUUAGAUACCCUGGUAGUCCACGCCGUAAACGAUGAGUGCUAAGUGUUAGGGGGUUUCCGCCCCUUAGUGCUGCAGCUAACGCAUUAAGCACUCCGCCUGGGGAGUACGGUCGCAAGACUGAAACUCANAGGAAUUGACGGGGGCCCGCACAAGCGGUGGAGCAUGUGGUUUAAUUCGAAGCAACGCGAAGAACCUUACCAGGUCUUGACAUCCUCUGACAAUCCUAGAGAUAGGACGUCCCCUUCGGGGGCAGAGUGACAGGUGGUGCAUGGUUGUCGUCAGCUCGUGUCNUGANAUGUUGGGUUAAGUCCCGCAACGAGCGCAACCCUUGAUCUUAGUUGCCAGCAUUCAGUUGGGCACUCUAAGGUGACUGCCGGUGACAAACCGGAGGAAGGUGGGGAUGACGUCAAAUCAUCAUGCCCCUUAUGACCUGGGCUACACACGUGCUACAAUGGACAGAACAAAGGGCAGCGAAACCGCGAGGUUAAGCCAAUCCCACAAAUCUGUUCUCAGUUCGGAUCGCAGUCUGCAACUCGACUGCGUGAAGCUGGAAUCGCUAGUAAUCGCGAU
RNAcentral lists this ribosomal RNA (1281 nucleotides) under Bacillus velezensis. RNAcentral describes it as "bacterial SSU rRNA". It matches the Rfam family "Bacterial small subunit ribosomal RNA", at positions 81 to 1348 of the family's 1533-position model. Lineage: Bacteria; Bacillati; Bacillota; Bacilli; Caryophanales; Bacillaceae. The record is from RNAcentral.